This 340-nucleotide ribosomal RNA is filed under the name Chlorogonium elongatum. It matches the Rfam family "Bacterial large subunit ribosomal RNA", at positions 702 to 1060 of the family's 2925-position model. Lineage: Eukaryota; Viridiplantae; Chlorophyta; Chlorophyceae; Chlamydomonadales; Haematococcaceae. The record is from RNAcentral.
UCGUGAAUAAGACCCGAAACCCUGCGAGCUAUCACAUAAUAGGUGUGCUUCUUUAUGAAAGUACGACUGAACCGGUGUAUGUUGCAAUAUACUCGGAUAAUUAUGUGAUAGGUGGUGAAAGGCCAAUCAAGAUAGGUAAUAGCUGGUUUUCUGUGAAAUCUAUUGAGGUAAAGCGGAGAAAAAAAUCUAUAAUGUUUACUGUUCUUUUCCGUAUGUGUAUCAUGGGGAAUGAUACGGUAAGAAUUAUAGAAUCUGUUCUCUAGUCAAACUUACGGUGGUAAGGUCGUAAGUUGAGAUGUAAAGAGACGUCAUGAUAUGCAAAGGUUUUUAAAUUAUGAUU